CCUACGGGAGGCAGCAGUGGGGAAUAUUGCACAAUGGGGGAAACCCUGAUGCAGCGACGCCGCGUGAGUGAAGAAGUAAUUCGUUAUGGAAAGCUCUAUCAGCAGGGAAGAAAAUGACGGUACCUGAGUAAGAAGCCCCGGCUAACUACGUGCCAGCAGCCGCGGUAAUACGUAGGGGGCAAGCGGUAUCCGGAUUUACGGGGGGUAAAGGGGGCGUAGACGGCAGUGCAAGGCUGGAGUGAAAGGCUGGGGGUCAACCCCCGGAGUGCUCUGGAAACUGUACGGCUGGAGUGCAGGAGAGGUAAGUGGAAUUCCUAGUGUAGCGGUGAAAUGCGUAGAUAUUAGGAGGAACACCAGUGGCGAAGGCGGCUUACUGGACUGUAACUGACGUUGAGGCUCGAAAGCGUGGGGAGCAAACAGGAUUAGAUACCCGGGUAGUC
This 440-nucleotide ribosomal RNA is filed under the name uncultured bacterium. RNAcentral's name for it is "partial 16S ribosomal RNA". It matches the Rfam family "Bacterial small subunit ribosomal RNA", at positions 338 to 795 of the family's 1533-position model. The record is from RNAcentral.